RNAcentral lists this ribosomal RNA (406 nucleotides) under uncultured bacterium. RNAcentral's name for it is "partial 16S ribosomal RNA". It matches the Rfam family "Bacterial small subunit ribosomal RNA", at positions 30 to 526 of the family's 1533-position model. The record is from RNAcentral.
AUUGAACGCUGGCGGCAGGCCUAACACAUGCAAGUCGAGCGAGCGGCGGACGGGUGAGUAAUGUAUGGGGCUCUGCCUGAGAGAGGGGGCUAACUACUGGAAACGGUAGCUAAUACCGCAUACUAUCGGAUGAACCCACAUGGGAUUAGCUAGUAGGUGGGGUAACGGCUCACCUCGGCGACGAUCCCUAACUGGUCUGAGAGGAGGAUCAGCCACACUGGGACUGAGCCACGGCCCAGACUCCUACGGGAGGCAGCAGUGGGGAAUAUUGAACAAUGGGCGAAAGCCGGAUGCAGCCAUGCCGCGUGUUUGAAGAAGGCCUUCGGGUUGGAAAGUACUUUCAGCGGGGAGGCGUUACCAGCAGAAGAAGCACCGGCUAACUCCGUGCCAGCAGCCGCGGUAAUAC